GACGAACCGUGCGAACGUUGUUCGGAUUCACUGGGCUUAAAGGGCGCGUAGGCGGACAAUCAAGUCAGGGGUGAAAGCCUCCAGCUCAACUGGAGAAGUGCCUUUGAUACUGACUGUCUCGAGGGAGGUAGGGGCAUGUGGAACUUCCGGUGGAGCGGUGAAAUGCGUAGAUAUCGGGAAGAACACCCGUGGCGAAGGCGGCUCUCUGGGACGGUACUGACGCUGAGACGCGAAAGCGUGGGGAGCGAACAGG
Molecule: ribosomal RNA, 253 nt
Filed under: uncultured bacterium
Lineage: Bacteria
Description: partial 16S ribosomal RNA
Rfam family: Bacterial small subunit ribosomal RNA
Source: RNAcentral